UACCUAUCAUCUAACCGCCUUGUUCUCUGGGGUAAGCUGACAUUUACCCAAAUACCCUGAUCCCAGAGGCAAGCUGCGGUCUACCCAAACACGCAGACCCCUCAGGUAAGCUCACAUCCACCCAAAUGCCCUAACCCCAGAGGUAGGCUGCCUUUGACCCAGCCCCCUGACCCCUGAGGUAACCUCGCUUCCACCUAAACACUCUGAUCUCAGAGGCAAGCUGACAUUUGCCCAAACACCCUGAUCACAGAAAUAAGCUGCCAUCCACCUAAACGACCUACCCCUAGAGGUAAGCUGACAUCCAUCUAACUGCCUUGAUCCUAGGCUGCCCCAGUACGUCUAGGUGGUGACAAUCCAUCCUACAGGGUUGACAUGAUGUGCUUUCCUGAAGCACACAAAGGACACCUCGGGUUUUAUGAAGGUGUAUGACAGUGUUUUAGCCCGACCCUUGUGCAGAGGUCGGAAGUCUGCGGUUUAGCUCUGCUCGGCUCAUCCCGGAUUGGCGGACGGCGGACGUCGGGACCACGGCGGCGGAAGGACUCUGCUCCAGCGGCGACGUCGGUGGACCUUCCCGGAUGGCAACGGCCGGCGGACCAUCGAGGAAGCCCUUCAGCGGGCCGUGGCUGGUAGCAGGCGGUGGCCUGCGGAAUACCGCCCGGUUCUGCUGGAGGGCUGAGGAGGAGGUGGGCACCUUCCCCGACCGGCUGGCCUUCAUCCGGGAGGUGGCCUUUGGAGCGUUGGGCCUUCAGAUGCAGGACAUCCUCUGCGUACAGCGGAAUGGGCCCUUCCGCUUCUUCGAGGUCACCUUGUCCACCGACGAGAGUUACACCAAGGUCCUGGAGCGGAGCAAGGAGGGGGCCCAGCACCCCCUCCUCGGACGUUACAACAUCGAGCCGCUGUGGUGGCCCGACAAGCGGCCUCCCUUCUGCCGGCAGUGCCACAGUUUUGGACACACCCUGGAGGGAUGCGCCAACCUGCGCUGCCGCAACUGCCUGGAGUCGGGGCACAUGGCCAGGGACUGCAAGGGCCCCCGUCGCUGCAAACACUGUAACGGCGAGGACCAUCUGGCUCGUUCCUGCCCACAGAAAAAGACUACAUAUGCCGACGCUCUGUCGGGUAACAGAGCAGUCGGCACGGAGAAUGGUGGGGGAGCUCUAGCCCCCACGACUGGGCAGGAACAGCCGGCGACGGGGGCAGGAGGAGAAGCCCUGGUCGAGGUGGAGGAGGCCCCUUCGAGUGCGACACCAAUGCAGGAGGGGUCUCCGAACAAGGUGGAGCAGCUCGCCCUGGCUCCAGGCGUCAGCAGCAGGAGGAAGAAGAGCGGUGCAUCCCCCCGGGGGAGGAAGAAGAGCAGAAGGGAGGCGCAACCCGACGCAUCCAGCCCUCCGCCGGCCACCUCGCCAGCAGUGGCGGCCGGGGACCAAGGCCGACAGUGUCCCCCCUCCCCGAUGUUAGAGGCCCCCCGUCUGGUGUGGGACUUGGGACAGUCCCCUGCACCCCCCCAGGAGUACAGCGGUCAACAGGACACUGCUAAUGAACAGGAGUACCUGGGGGGGCUGGAAUUGGGGGACCUUUUGAGGUUGACUGAGGAGGGGGGGCAGUAGGACAGUAUUGUUUUUAAUGGCUGGCUUUUAUUAUUUUAGUUUGUUGUUUUUAAUUGUAUUUUAUUAUUUUAACAUUCUAUGGCCAAUUUUAAUAUUGUCACCUUGAAUGUAAGGGGUUUGAGGAACAUUUUAAAACGUACAUCUGUUUUUAACCAGCUGGCAUCUUCUCCCUUCAGCAUUUGUUUUCUGCAGGAAGUCCACCUCCGGGACCAGCGGGACGAGGCUCUCUUUUCACGACAGUGGAAGAGGGGUAGAUCCUACUGGAGCGUAGGUGGCGUCCACUCCUCAGGCGUCGGGAUCCUUUUUGGCGACCGCGCCUUUGAAGAAAGCCAGGGAAGCCCGGGAGGAGAAGAGCUUUAGCUCUCUCCGUGCCUCAAAUGGCAGUAUAGUCAAGGAUACAUCAGACAUGCUGGAGGUUGCUAAAUUGUUUUACCUUAACCUUUUUAAUGUUAGGGAUACGGACCCGGUUGCUGGGGAGCGCUUCCUAGAUAACAUCUCACCUUGUCUUCCCAGUGACAUCCGGGACGGCUUAGAAGCCCCCAUCACCUUGGCCGAGCUGACCGCAGUGCUUGGCAAGAUGAACCGCCGCAAGGUACCUGGCCUUGAUGGGCUCCCGGUGGAAUUUUAUUCCACCUUUUGGGAUGUCCUCGGGCCGGAAUUACUGCAGGUUGUAGAGGACGUUCAGCGCCGGGGUUUGCUCACUAGGAGCAUGAGGUCGGGGGUCCUCUCUUUGUUGCACAAGAAGGGCGAUCGGGCCGACCUUGGCAACUGGAGGCCCCUGACCAUGCUUUGUGUAGACACAAAGCUCAUCGCAAAGACCCUUACCGAACGCCUGAAGAAGGCCAUGGCUCAUCUGGUUCACAGCGACCAGACGUGUGGAGUACCGGGUCGAUCGGCGACGUGGAAUCUCCACCUCAUCCGCGACGCCAUCGCCUGGGUGGAGGAUAGGAACCUCCCUCUCCUGCUGGUCAGCUUGGACCAGGAGAAAGCCUUCGACCGGGUAGAUCACCGCUUCCUGUUCAAAGUAUUGGGUAAGUUUGGC
This is an RNA transcript of Brienomyrus brachyistius, 2646 nucleotides long. RefSeq lists it as uncharacterized. The transcript is spliced from 5 exons. NCBI's taxonomy places the organism in Eukaryota, Metazoa, Chordata, Actinopteri, Osteoglossiformes, Mormyridae. The record is from RefSeq and is a predicted model, not a curated record.